This 1986-nucleotide ribosomal RNA is filed under the name human oral metagenome. RNAcentral describes it as "bacterial LSU rRNA". It matches the Rfam family "Bacterial large subunit ribosomal RNA", at positions 3 to 1979 of the family's 2925-position model. The record is from RNAcentral.
UCAAGCAAGUAUAGGUUUGUGGCGGAUGCCUAGGAGCUGUCCGGCGAAGAAGGCCGCGGUAAGCUGCGAAAAGCUGCGGGGAGGAGCAAACAUCCUUAGAUCCGCAGAUAGCCGAAUGGGGUAACCCGUAUGUCGCAAGGCAUACACCGCGCGCGGGAAGAAGAUACUGCGGCGGAGCGAUACUGCGUGAAGUGAACCAUCUAAGUAACGCGGGAAGAGAAAUCAAAAGAGAUUGCGCAAGUAGCGGCGAGCGAACGCGCAGGAGCCUAAACCCUUAUGUAGGGUGUUGCAGGGCCGCACGGGGAUGACCCGUGGAGUUGGGAAAAAACCGAUUUUUAGCGGAAGCGUCUGGAAAGGCGCGCGAGACAGCGUGAAAGCCGCGUAUGCGAAAGAUAUCGGACUCCAUGGUGCGGUACCUAAGUAGAGCGGGGCACGAGAAACCCUGUUUGAAUCCGGGUCGACCACGAUCCAAGGCUAAAUACGAGACAGCUACCGACAGCGAAGAGUACCGUGAGGGAACGGCGAAAAGAACCCCGGUGAGGGGAGUGAAAGAGAACCUGAAACCGCAAACCGACAAGAUGUCACGGCGCGUGAGCGUUGUGGCGUGUCUUUUGUAGAAUAAACCUGCGAGUUGCGAUGCGCGGCGAGGCUAAGGGUUGGGAGAUCCGGAGCCGGAGCGAAAGCGAGUGUGAGAAGUGCGAGAAGUCGCGUGUCGCAGACCCGAAGCCAAGGUGAUCUAAUUAUGGGCAGGCUGAAGGCAGGGUGAAACCUGUUGGAGGGCCGAACAGUAAUCUGUUAAAAAAGGUAGUGAUGACCUGUGAUUAGGAGUGAAAGGCUAAACAAACCUGGAAAUAGCUGGCUCUCCCCGAAAUGCCUUUAGGGACAGCCUCAUGCAAAGCGGAAGGAGGUAAAGCACCGGAUGGGAUAGGGGGCGUCACAGUCUACCGACACCAAUCGAACUCAGAAUGCCAUCCGCCAACGCAUGGGAGUGAGACUGUGUGCUCCAAGGUUCAUAGUCGAGAGGGAAACAGCCCGGACCGACGGCAAAGGUCCCAAAAUAACGCUCAGUGUGAAAUGAGGUGCGUUUGCACAGACAGCCAGGAGGUUGGCUCAGAAGCAGCCAUUCCUUAAAAGAGUGCGUAACAGCUCACUGGUCGAGCAGGCGUGCGCAGACAAUGUAACGGGGCUAAGCGUUAUACCGAAGCCGCGGGUCCGCAUCUUGUGAUGCGGGCGGUAGGGGAGCAUUGCGCUAACCGAAGAAGGCGUACCUGUGAGGGGCGCUGGAGGAAGCGGAAGAGAGAAUGCAGGCACAAGUAACGAAAAGACGGGUGAGAUUCCCGUCCGCCGAAAGCCUGAGGAUUCCCGGGUAAAGGCAAUCUGCCCGGGGUAAGUCGGCCCCUAAGGCGAGGACGAAAGUCGUAGUCGAUGGGAAAUCGGUUCAAAAUCCGAUACCCGGCUCAGUUUUGAAGGCAGGACGCAUGAGGUGAAAUCCGGCAGAAGAACGGUAGUUUCUGUCCAAGCGGUAAGGUGUUGAGAGGGCGGUUAAAAGAGCCCUUGAGCUGAGCCGUUACGGGGAGCGGAGCGCAGGCGAAGCGAAGCGGACGUAAUCAGGGUGCCGGGAAAUACUGUCUAAAGUUAGGCUGAGUCGGACCGUACCGGAAACGGACACACGCAGGCAGGAUGAGUAAUCUAAGGCGCACGAGCGACCCCGCGUUAAGGAACUCGGCAAAAAGCACACGUAACUUCGGAAGAAGUGUGGCUCACGCUGAUAAGGAUGUGAGCGGCAGAAAGCAGGCCCAGGCGACUGUUUAUCAAAAACACAGCCAUCUGCGAACCAGUAAUGGGACGUAUAGGUGGUGACACCUGCCCGGUACCGGAAGGUUAAGGGGAGGGGUUAGCAGCAAUGCGAAGCUCCGAACCGAAGCCCCGGCAAACGGCGGCCGUAACUAUAACGGUCCUAAGGUAGCGAAAUUCCUUGUCGGGUAA